AGAGCGAACGCUGGCGGCAGGCCUAACACAUGCAAGUCGAGCGCGUGUAGCAAUACACGAGCGGCAGACGGGAGAGUAACACGUGGGAACGCGCCCUUCGGUUCGGAAUAACUCAGGGAAACUUGAGCUAAUACCGGAUACGCCCUUACGGGGGAAAGAUUUAUUGCCGAAGGAACGGCCCGCGUCCGAUUAGCUAGUUGGUGAGGUAACGGCUCACCAAGGCGACGAUCGGUAGCUGGUCUGAGAGGAUGACCAGCCUCACUGGGACUGAGACACGGCCCAGACUCCUACGGGAGGCAGCAGUGGGGAAUAUUGGACAAUGGGCGCAAGCCUGAUCCAGCCAUGCCGCGUGGAUGAUGAAGGCCUUAGGGUUGUAAAGUCCUUUUAACGGGGAAGAUAGUGACGGUACCCGUAGAAUAAGCCCCGGCUAACUUCGUGCCAGCAGCCGC
Molecule: ribosomal RNA, 449 nt
Filed under: uncultured bacterium
Lineage: Bacteria
Description: SSU rRNA
Rfam family: Bacterial small subunit ribosomal RNA
Source: RNAcentral